RNAcentral lists this long non-coding RNA (537 nucleotides) under Panax ginseng (ginseng). Its description in RNAcentral is "long non-coding RNA (PGIN_LNC001067)". The record is from RNAcentral. Lineage: Eukaryota; Viridiplantae; Streptophyta; Magnoliopsida; Apiales; Araliaceae.
UUCCAUUAUCUCAAUGGUCUCUGGAGGGUUUGGCAUUGGCUCAAUUUCAUCUUGAGCAAGGACCUCUUCUUCAGCCAUUGGGAUAUCAUGAGGCUCCCCCUCAGCAUGAACAUCUUCUUGGAGGUUUAGAAACUCCCCCUCAGCUGGUAUAUCUUCUUGAGCUGAAGACUUCUCCCCCUCAGUUGGUGUAUACCCAAUCAUGAGAAUUUCAGGGAUCUCCCCCUCAGCUGGAGCAUCUUCUUCUAAGUUUUCUUGGGACAAUUCUACUUUUGCAGCCAUACUCUUGGCUUCCUUCUUCAGCACUUUUUCAUUUUCAAGAAUAUACUUCUUGACUAGCUUUCUUUUUGCUUUGCUGGGUUUAGCCACAACUUCUGGACUCUCUUGAGUCUUAGCUUAGUCAUGUUGAACAACUACUAUUCUUGAGGCAGCUUCUUCCAUUUCUGCCACACUUGGCCUCGUUUCAGAGAACAACAGAGUCUCUACGAUCGAAGAAACUGUUGGUCUUUUGAACUUAUGACCAGUUUUGUUCUUCUUUAG